UUUCCGUAGUGAACCUGCGGAAGGAUCAUUAAUAAAUUUUUUAGGUUGAAAUUUGAAACCUAAAAAUAUAAUAAUCCUACCUUUGUGAAUUUGUUGUUUGAAAUAAUUUUUUAAAAAAUUAUUUAUAGUUUUGUCUAUCCUGAGUUGUAAGAGAAGUAAUUCUUGAAGACUUAGGGAAUAGGCAUUAUCUAUAAAUAAUGAUUUUAAAGACCUUUUUUUAAAUUAAACUUUGUAUUCAUUUUCUAAAAUUUAUUUUUAAUAAUUUAAAAACAACUUUGACAAUGGAUCUCUUGUUCUCGCAACGAUGAAGAACGCAGCAAAAUGCGAUAAGUAAUGUGAAUGCAGAAUACGUGAAUCAUCAAAUCUUCGAACGCAUAUUGCACUUUUUAGUUUACUAAAAAGUAUGUCUGUUUGAGUAUCAGUAAAUAUUCUCAUAAAAAUUUAUUUUUUUUAUGGUUUGAGUGUUUACAACGAUACAAGUUGUUUCACUUUAAAUUGACUUUAAAUUGCCUAUUAAUUUAGUCAAUUUUAAAUUGCAUAAAAUUUCCCGUAAAAGGAAUAACCUAUCAAUUUAAAAUUAACUGAUAUUAAAAGGCUUGAUAAAAGGAAAUUUAAUUAAAUAACUUGAUCUCAAAUCAGAUAAGAGUACCGCUGAACUUAAGCAUAUCAAUAAGCGGAGGAAAAGAAACUAACAAGGAUUCCCUAGUAACGGGAGUGAAGCGGAAGAGCUCAAAUUUGAAAUCUUCAAGGUUGACCUUGACGAAUUGUAGUUUAAAGAAGUGUUUUCGGUUAGAGGAGUGGUAAAAGUUCUUUGGAUAGACAUCAUAGAGGGUGAGAAUCCGUAUUUGACCAUUCUUUCUAGCUUUGUGAUACACUUUCAAAGAGUCGGAUUGUUUGGGAAUGCAGUCCAAAAUGGUGGUAAAUUUCAUCUAAAGCUAAAUAUUGGCGAGAGACCGAUAGCGAACAAGUACGUGAGGGAAAGAUGAAAGAACUUUGAAAAGAGAUUAAACAGUACGUGAAAUUGUCAAAAGGAAGCGUUUGACACCAGUGUUGUUUUUCCGAAAAUCAAUUAAAAUAAAUUCAUGCAGGUUGUAUUGACUUAUCAGCUUGCAAUUUGGUUUGGGUUUCUUUUGAUGCACUUUUCGGUUAACAAGUCAACAUCAAUUUCCUUUGCUGUAAAGGCAGGAGAAGGUGGCUUCAAUUUCGGUUGAAGUGUUUAUAGCUUCUGUCUCUGCAGUCGGGAGAUUGAGGUCUGCAGCGUAGAUCUUCGGGUUGAUACAUUCGUGCUAAGUUAUAGCCUUUUAUAGACAACUUGUUGACUAUGAUCGUCAUGUAAUUACUCGCGAGUGCUAUUU
Molecule: unclassified non-coding RNA, 1355 nt
Filed under: uncultured Neocallimastigales
Lineage: Eukaryota; Fungi; Neocallimastigomycota; Neocallimastigomycetes; Neocallimastigales
Description: partial contains small subunit ribosomal RNA, internal transcribed spacer 1, 5.8S ribosomal RNA, internal transcribed spacer 2, and large subunit ribosomal RNA
Rfam family: Eukaryotic large subunit ribosomal RNA (bases 626-1355)
Source: RNAcentral